Molecule: long non-coding RNA, 2034 nt
Organism: Asterias rubens (European starfish)
Lineage: Eukaryota; Metazoa; Echinodermata; Asteroidea; Forcipulatida; Asteriidae
Exons: 2
Source: RefSeq, a predicted model, not a curated record
UGCUCAUUACCAAGAAAGUUUUUUAUGCUGACAGUUAUUAUGAGUAAUUACCAAUAGUGUCCAAUGCCUUUAAUGAACAAUGCACAAAGCGAAAACUGAACUUGAUUUCACAAAGCGCUACGAUUCAUCUUAAGAGUUGCCAGUAUUCUUAAUGUGAUUUGUAUUGUGACAUCACACUUUGCUUAGCAAUUAAGAUUGAUUCCCCACUUAAGAUCAAUCUUAGCUCGUUGUGAAAUCGGAACACAUUAUGCCAUUCACUCUUGGUGAAAACACAAUAUCCCUUGCUAAAUAGUUGUUCUCAUCAUUUAUAGAAAAUAUUUUUUAAAGUAAACAUUAAACUUUAAUAUCUCGUAUUAGUCUCAUAAUAGUUAUUAAAAACAAAACUUAUUUAAUACAAUUUUAUAAACAAAAAAAUACAGGGAUGUACACUAUCGGCAAACUCUCAUCUUCAAGUUUAUGCUCCGCCAAAAGUUCACCUUUUUCUUUCUACUGUCAAAAGUUCAACUUUUUCUUUCCACUGCCAAAAUUUCACCUUUUUCUUUCCACUGCCAAGAUUUCACCUUUUUCUUUCCACUGCUGCUACACAAGCAACUUUAAAGUAUCCGCUAUGAAACACAAGGGCUAACUAUCCUCUCAAAAUAAACAACAGAAAUAUUUUUUUUGAAAAGAAGACUUUUUAGUACAAUUCCUGCUGUUGGUUGCUAAGGAAAUGACCUUUGACUUUCAACCAAUAGCAUACAAACCCUUCACGAAUUAUUAGUAGAUCUCUGUAAAAUAAACAAUUGAAUAAACAUCAAACCAAAAAUAAAAUAUACAUAAUUUAUACGGGAAUAUUGAAAUACUUUCGGGGGCUAUAUACACAAUUAGAAAGACCUAAAUUUUGUUAAUUGUAUAAAAACACCAUAACUUUGUAAAUGUCUGACAAAGAAAAACAAUACCUACUUGUACAUCUAUAAUUGCUAUGAAAAAAGAUUGGCACAAAUUAAGGACAAUCUAGAAAGAGUAUUUCUAGUUUCUACUCUCAGAAACUGUAAUGCCUUCUUUAUGUUUAUACACUCGUAACUCUAAUCAUACGUUCAAAAUCAGUGUUUUGGUGCAACAAAUUAAAUAUUGCUUUAUCCCAACUAUAGAAUUGGUCGAGCUAUUGGUUGGGUUCAGCCCAUAGUUGGGAUUGAUAAUGCUAUAUGCCGCACUAUACGUUUCUUGGUUCUGCCAAACUAGUUGGGAUCACCCAACUAUAGUUGGGUUCACCAAACUACAGUUGGGAUCACCCAACUAUAGUUGGGUUCACCAAACUACAGUUGGGAUCACCCAACUAUAGUUGGGUUCACCAAACUACAGUUGGGAUCACCCAACUAUAGUUGGGUUCACCAAACUACAGUUGGGUUCACCAAACUAUAGUUGGGUUCACCAAACUAUAGUUGGAUCACCCAACUUGUAGAUGUACAGGCCUGACUGUCGUGGGGCAAACCCGACUAUCGCUGGUCGACCCAUCUGUACUUUGUCAGGCCAACUAUAGUUGGUCCGGCCCAACUAUAGUUCUACUGAUUCUAUAGUGUGGGAGAAAUAACAUUAUGAUAUUCAAAUAGUAUAUUUGAUAUCUAUUUAAUAUUUCAAUAUCAACCACACAUUUGGUUUAUCUGAUAGAAGUUAUGGAUGCCAUAUCUUAUUUGAUAGAGGUAAAAGCUGAAUAUUUAAUCGAUACAUCAUCACAGUCCAAACGUGAUAUAUGAUACUAGUAUUAUAGUUCAGAUAUCCAGUAACUAUAACUUUAAUAUAUCUGAAAGGUGAAAUACCUUCAGAUAGAGGAAUAGCUGAUUAUACUUGAGUAGUUGAAUCAUUUAUAAAUUUAGAUUUCACCAACCAAUAUUAUGUAAUACACACCUCCUUUCUGGAUAGAAUAUUCUACUUAAAAACCAUUAACCAUAAUUACAAAACUUCUUGAAAAUGCCAGUCAGUGGUUUGAAAUUUGUUUCCGGCUGAAACUUCAUGAACUUCAUAAACUAUCCCAUUAGGAAAAAUGUCAAAAAAAAA